Molecule: small nucleolar RNA, 119 nt
Filed under: Echinops telfairi (small Madagascar hedgehog)
Lineage: Eukaryota; Metazoa; Chordata; Mammalia; Afrosoricida; Tenrecidae
Description: Small nucleolar RNA SNORA61 (ENSETEG00000026862.1)
Source: RNAcentral
UCCCUCCAUCUUCCUCUCCAGUCGGAUGUGAACACCGGUCUAAAUGGGUCAAAGGAACAAAAAGUAGCAUCCAAACUGACUUCAGUGCUUUUGUAGUACUGGGCCAGUUUCAAAUAGAU